This 272-nucleotide long non-coding RNA is filed under the name Elaeis guineensis (African oil palm). RNAcentral describes it as "long non-coding RNA (EGUI_LNC007060)". Lineage: Eukaryota; Viridiplantae; Streptophyta; Magnoliopsida; Arecales; Arecaceae. The record is from RNAcentral.
UACAGAUGAUAAGCACAAGCCAGUGAAUUGCGGCUAGUUGUCUUCUUACAUCGAUCUAGAAUUUGUACCAUCGAUAUCAUAAGGACACACGUGCGGACAAACUUCUGCUUCCCCAGCCGACCAGCCCGACACUGGCUUGGAAAAGGAUGGGUUUUUGAACUCUUAUGCGACCGGGUUUUAAAAGUAUUUUAAGGAUGACCUCGAGCACAUCGAAGCCAUGCACUAUAUUAUCUUAUAUCUCAUGCAUUUUGUUAAAUUCUAGUAAUGUGAUA